Molecule: ribosomal RNA, 301 nt
Filed under: uncultured bacterium
Lineage: Bacteria
Description: partial 16S ribosomal RNA
Rfam family: Bacterial small subunit ribosomal RNA
Source: RNAcentral
CAGCAGCCACGGGAAUACGUAGGGUGCGAGCGUUAAUCGGAAUUACUGGGCGUAAAGCGUGCGCAGGCGGUUCGUUAAGACAGAUGUGAAAUCCCCGGGCUUAACCUGGGAACUGCAUUUGUGACUGUAUAGCUAGAGUACGGCAGAGGGGGAUGGAAUUCCGCGUGUAGCAGUGAAAUGCGUAGAUAUGCGGAGGAACACCGAUGGCGAAGGCAAUCCCCUGGGCCUGUACUGACGCUCAUGCACGAAAGCGUGGGGAGCAAACAGGAUUAGAGACCCGAGUAGUCCCUGUCUCUUAUAC